GAUGAACGCUGGCGGCGUGCCUAAUACAUGCAAGUCGAGCGAACGGACGAGAAGCUUGCUUCUCUGAUGUUAGCGGCGGACGGGUGAGUAACACGUGGAUAACCUACCUAUAAGACUGGGAUAACUUCGGGAAACCGGAGCUAAUACCGGAUAAUAUUUUGAACCGCAUGGUUCAAAAGUGAAAGACGGUCUUGCUGUCACUUAUAGAUGGAUCCGCGCUGCAUUAGCUAGUUGGUAAGGUAACGGCUUACCAAGGCAACGAUGCAUAGCCGACCUGAGAGGGUGAUCGGCCACACUGGAACUGAGACACGGUCCAGACUCCUACGGGAGGCAGCAGUAGGGAAUCUUCCGCAAUGGGCGAAAGCCUGACGGAGCAACGCCGCGUGAGUGAUGAAGGUCUUCGGAUCGUAAAACUCUGUUAUUAGGGAAGAACAUAUGUGUAAGUAACUGUGCACAUCUUGACGGUACCUAAUCAGAAAGCCACGGCUAACUACGUGCCAGCAGCCGCGGUAAUACGUAGGUGGCAAGCGUUAUCCGGAAUUAUUGGGCGUAAAGCGCGCGUAGGCGGUUUUUUAAGUCUGAUGUGAAAGCCCACGGCUCAACCGUGGAGGGUCAUUGGAAACUGGAAAACUUGAGUGCAGAAGAGGAAAGUGGAAUUCCAUGUGUAGCGGUGAAAUGCGCGGAGAUAUGGAGGAACACCAGUGGCGAAGGCGACUUUCUGGUCUGUAACUGACGCUGAUGUGCGAAAGCGUGGGGAUCAAACAGG
RNAcentral lists this ribosomal RNA (766 nucleotides) under Staphylococcus aureus. RNAcentral describes it as "bacterial SSU rRNA". It matches the Rfam family "Bacterial small subunit ribosomal RNA", at positions 28 to 776 of the family's 1533-position model. The record is from RNAcentral. Lineage: Bacteria; Bacillati; Bacillota; Bacilli; Caryophanales; Staphylococcaceae.